CGUAGGUGGCGAGCGUUGUCCGGAUUUACUGGGCGUAAAGAGCGCGCAGGCGGUCGUGCAAGUCGCGUGUGAAAGCCCCCGGCUCAACUGGGGAGGGUCACGCGAUACUGCUCGACCUUGAAGGCAGGAGAGGGAAGUGGAAUUCCCGGUGUAGUGGUGAAAUGCGUAGAUAUCGGGAGGAACACCAGUGGCGAAGGCGACUUCCUGGCCUGUUCUUGACGCUGAGGCGCGAAGGCUAGGGUAGCAAACGGGAUUAGAUACCCCGGUAGUCCUAGCCGUAAACGAUGGACACUAGGUGUUGGUGGUAUCAACCCCGCCAGUGCCGAAGCUAACGCAUUAAGUGUCCCGCCUGGGGAGUACGGCCGCAAGGCUA
This 373-nucleotide ribosomal RNA is filed under the name uncultured organism. Its description in RNAcentral is "bacterial SSU rRNA". It matches the Rfam family "Bacterial small subunit ribosomal RNA", at positions 526 to 896 of the family's 1533-position model. The record is from RNAcentral.